Gallus gallus (chicken) is the source of this 921-nucleotide long non-coding RNA. NCBI's taxonomy places the organism in Eukaryota, Metazoa, Chordata, Aves, Galliformes, Phasianidae. The record is from Ensembl.
AAAGGUUAUUUGCAAAUGUUUAGUAAGUAUAGCUUCUUAACAUUCUCUCUGUGCCUUGUCAUUGUAACAUGAAACAAAUAAAUAAACCUUUGAUCUGAUUGGUUUAUUUCAUCUUUUUCCAGAUUUCAUGGUGAUAUCACAAAACCUUGACACUACUCUUGAACUCUUCACCUUUGAAUCUGAUGUACUGUAUUUCAUAUGUAUCCUUGGGAUUCAUGUCCUCUAGUUAAACUCCAGCAUACAAGGAAGGAGCAAUCCCAGAAAUGUACAGACUGGGAAAAGAAUUGAUGAAGAGAAGCCCUGUAGAAAAGGACUUGGGGAUUCUGGAGGAAGAAAUGUUGCACAUGAGCCAGCUGUGUGCUCUUGCAGUCUGGAAGGCUAACUGCAUCCUGGGUGACAUCAAAAGUGAGGUAUCCAACAGUCAGAAGGAGGGAAUUUUCCCCCUCUGCCCUCAUGAGGCCACAUCUGGAGUAAUGCAUGCAGACCUGGGGCCCCCAGCACAAGAAAAAUGUGGAGCUGUUGGAGUGGGUCCAGAGGAGAACAUGAAGAUGAUCGGAGGAAUGGAGUACCUCUCUAAUGAAGAAAGACAGAGGAACUGGGGCUGCUCAGCCCAGAGAAGAAAAUAUCUGGGGGAAAGCUGUGUAAGGCCUUCCAGUGCAUAAAGGGAGCUUAUAAAAUAGAUGGAGACCAAGUUUUUACACAGGUUGAUAGUGAUAAGACAAGGGGGAAUAGUUCUAAUCUAAAAGAAGAGAGAAUUAUGUUGGAUGUUAAGAGGACAUUCUUUACUCAGAGAGUGGUGGGGCACUGGCACAGGCUGCCCAGAGAAGCCGUGGAUGCCCCAUUACUGAAGGCUUUUAAGAACAGAUUGGAUGGGGCCCUAAGCAGCCUGACAUAGAGGGUAGCAGCCUUGUUCAGUGCAGG